UGGGGAAUAUUGGACAAUGGGCGCAAGCCUGAUCCAGCCAUGCCGCGUGAGUGAUGAAGGGCCUUAGGGUUGUAAAGCUCUUUCGCCGACGAAGAUAAUGACGGUAGUCGGAGAAGAAGCCCCGGCUAACUUCGUGCCAGCAGCCGCGGUAAUACGAAGGGGGCGUAGCGUUGUUCGGAAUCACUGGGCGUAAAGCGCACGUAGGCGGAUUGUUAAGUCAGGGGUGAAAGCCUGGAGCUCAACUCCAGAACUGCCCUUGAUACUGGCAAUUCUCGAGUCCGGAAGAGGUAAGUGGAACUGCGAGUGUAGAGGGUGAAAUUCGUAGAUAUUCGCAAGAACACCAGUGGCGAAGGCGGCUUACUGGUCCGGUACUGACGCUGAGGUGCGAAAGCGU
RNAcentral lists this ribosomal RNA (394 nucleotides) under uncultured bacterium. RNAcentral describes it as "partial 16S ribosomal RNA". It matches the Rfam family "Bacterial small subunit ribosomal RNA", at positions 355 to 762 of the family's 1533-position model. The record is from RNAcentral.